UGGUAUAUCUUGAUUACAGCAAGAGCAGUAUACGUGUUUGUCACGUACCUCCAAAAACGGAAAAUUGCCACAAUAUUCGAGUACAGAUGACAUUUUAGAGCGUUUUCUUAUACAUUAGUAAAUAUACAUUUUAGCUAAAUAUAAUCGUGAAGAUACAAUAGCUAAACAAUAACGAAGUCAAUUUAUUGUACAGUCAGCGUCAAAUACUUUGUAGCAACCAAAGUAGCCAAAUAGUUCGGUACACCAUAUAUUUAGUAUGGUGUACCGAACUAUUUGGCCACUUUGACUGCUACAAAGUAUUUGACGCUGACUGUACCUA
Cydia amplana is the source of this 319-nucleotide long non-coding RNA. RefSeq lists it as uncharacterized. The transcript is spliced from 2 exons. The record is from RefSeq and is a predicted model, not a curated record. NCBI's taxonomy places the organism in Eukaryota, Metazoa, Arthropoda, Insecta, Lepidoptera, Tortricidae.